This 301-nucleotide ribosomal RNA is filed under the name Paenibacillus sp. P15E. Its description in RNAcentral is "bacterial SSU rRNA". It matches the Rfam family "Bacterial small subunit ribosomal RNA", at positions 60 to 355 of the family's 1533-position model. The record is from RNAcentral. Lineage: Bacteria; Bacillati; Bacillota; Bacilli; Caryophanales; Paenibacillaceae.
AGUCGAGCGGAGUUUAUCCUUCGGGAUAAGCUUAGCGGCGGACGGGUGAGUAACACGUAGGCAACCUGCCCCAUGAACUGGGAUAACUACCGGAAACGGUAGCUAAUACCGGAUAAUUCCUAUUUUCGCCUGAAGAGAGGAUGAAAGACGGAGCAAUCUGUCAUCAUGGGAUGGGCCUGCGGCGCAUUAGCUAGUUGGUGGGGUAACGGCUCACCAAGGCGACGAUGCGUAGCCGACCUGAGAGGGUGAACGGCCACACUGGGACUGAGACACGGCCCAGACUCCUACGGGAGGCAGCAGU